CACGUAGGGUGCGAGCGUUGUCCGGAUUUAUUGGGCGUAAAGAGCUCGUAGGCGGUUUGUCGCGUCGGCCGUGAAAUCUCCACGCUUAACGUGGAGCGUGCGGUCGAUACGGGCAGACUUGAGUUCGGUAGGGGAGACUGGAAUUCCUGGUGUAGCGGUGAAAUGCGCAGAUAUCAGGAGGAACACCGGUGGCGAAGGCGGGUCUCUGGGCCGAUACUGACGCUGAGGAGCGAAAGCGUGGGGAGCAAACAGG
Molecule: ribosomal RNA, 253 nt
Filed under: uncultured bacterium
Lineage: Bacteria
Description: partial 16S ribosomal RNA
Rfam family: Bacterial small subunit ribosomal RNA
Source: RNAcentral